This 1000-nucleotide ribosomal RNA is filed under the name Limosilactobacillus fermentum. RNAcentral's name for it is "bacterial SSU rRNA". It matches the Rfam family "Bacterial small subunit ribosomal RNA", at positions 31 to 1018 of the family's 1533-position model. Lineage: Bacteria; Bacillati; Bacillota; Bacilli; Lactobacillales; Lactobacillaceae. The record is from RNAcentral.
GAACGCGUUGAGCCCAAUUGAUUGAUGGUGCUUGCACCUGAUUGAUUUUGGUCGCCAACGAGUGGCGGACGGGUGAGUAACACGUAGGUAACCUGCCCAGAAGCGGGGGACAACAUUUGGAAACAGAUGCUAAUACCGCAUAACAACGUUGUUCGCAUGAACAACGCUUAAAAGAUGGCUUCUCGCUAUCACUUCUGGAUGGACCUGCGGUGCAUUAGCUUGUUGGUGGGGUAACGGCCUACCAAGGCGAUGAUGCAUAGCCGAGUUGAGAGACUGAUCGGCCACAAUGGGACUGAGACACGGCCCAUACUCCUACGGGAGGCAGCAGUAGGGAAUCUUCCACAAUGGGCGCAAGCCUGAUGGAGCAACACCGCGUGAGUGAAGAAGGGUUUCGGCUCGUAAAGCUCUGUUGUUAAAGAAGAACACGUAUGAGAGUAACUGUUCAUACGUUGACGGUAUUUAACCAGAAAGUCACGGCUAACUACGUGCCAGCAGCCGCGGUAAUACGUAGGUGGCAAGCGUUAUCCGGAUUUAUUGGGCGUAAAGAGAGUGCAGGCGGUUUUCUAAGUCUGAUGUGAAAGCCUUCGGCUUAACCGGAGAAGUGCAUCGGAAACUGGAUAACUUGAGUGCAGAAGAGGGUAGUGGAACUCCAUGUGUAGCGGUGGAAUGCGUAGAUAUAUGGAAGAACACCAGUGGCGAAGGCGGCUACCUGGUCUGCAACUGACGCUGAGACUCGAAAGCAUGGGUAGCGAACAGGAUUAGAUACCCUGGUAGUCCAUGCCGUAAACGAUGAGUGCUAGGUGUUGGAGGGUUUCCGCCCUUCAGUGCCGGAGCUAACGCAUUAAGCACUCCGCCUGGGGAGUACGACCGCAAGGUUGAAACUCAAAGGAAUUGACGGGGGCCCGCACAAGCGGUGGAGCAUGUGGUUUAAUUCGAAGCUACGCGAAGAACCUUACCAGGUCUUGACAUCUUGCGCCAACCCUAGAGAUAGGGCGUUUCC